UUAAGUUCAGCGGGUAUCCCUACCUGAUCCGAGGUCAACCUGUAAAAAUAUGAGGCUUCAGUCGGCAAAGGAACCAUCUCCGUUAAAGGACGUUUAGAAAAUCUACUACGCCCAAAGCCGGUGAGGCUCCGCCGAGGUUUUUGAGGCGCGUCCCCGACUGGCGGGGGCGGUUGCCCAAUACCAAGCUGUGCUUGAGUGGU
Molecule: unclassified non-coding RNA, 200 nt
Filed under: Dothideales sp.
Lineage: Eukaryota; Fungi; Ascomycota; Dothideomycetes; Dothideales
Description: partial internal transcribed spacer 2
Source: RNAcentral